GGAUCCAGACUUUGAUCCUGGCUCAGGAUGAACGCUAGCUACAGGCUUAACGCAUGCAAGUCGAGGGGAAACGAUAGAGAAAGCUUGCUUUUUCUAGGCGUCGACCGGUGCACGGGUGAGUAACGCGUAUCCAACCUGCCCAUCACUUGGGGAUAACCUUGCGAAAGUAAGACUAAUACCCAAUGAUAUCUCUAGAAGACAUCUGAAAGAGAUUAAAGAUUUAUCGGUGAUGGAUGGGGAUGCGUCUGAUUAGCUUGUUGGCGGGGUAACGGCCCACCAAGGCGACGAUCAGUAGGGGUUCUGAGAGGAAGGUCCCCCACAUUGGAACUGAGACACGGUCCAAACUCCUACGGGAGGCAGCAGUGAGGAAUAUUGGUCAAUGGGCGAGAGCCUGAACCAGCCAAGUAGCGUGCAGGAUGACGGCCCUAUGGGUUGUAAACUGCUUUUAUAAGGGAAUAAAGUGAGUCUCGUGAGACUUUUUGCAUGUACCUUAUGAAUAAGGACCGGCUAAUUCCGUGCCAGCAGCCGCGGUAAUACGGAAGGUCCGGGCGUUAUCCGGAUUUAUUGGGUUUAAAGGGAGCGUAGGCCGGAGAUUAAGCGUGUUGUGAAAUGUAGACGCUCAACGUCUGCACUGCAGCGCGAACUGGUUUCCUUGAGUACGCACAAAGUGGGCGGAACUCGUGGUGUAGCGGUGAAAUGCUUAGAUAUCACGAAGAACUCCGAUUGCGAAGGCAGCUCACUGGAGCGCAACUGACGCUGAAGCUCGAAAGUGCGGGUAUCGAACAGGAUUAGAUACCCUGGUAGUCCGCACGGUAAACGAUGGAUGCCCGCUGUUGGUCUGAAUAGGUCAGCGGCCAAGCGAAAGCAUUAAGCAUCCCACCUGGGGAGUACGCCGGCAACGGUGCAACUCAAAUGAAUUGACGG
RNAcentral lists this ribosomal RNA (924 nucleotides) under uncultured Bacteroidota bacterium. RNAcentral's name for it is "bacterial SSU rRNA". It matches the Rfam family "Bacterial small subunit ribosomal RNA", at positions 1 to 916 of the family's 1533-position model. Lineage: Bacteria; Pseudomonadati; Bacteroidota. The record is from RNAcentral.